Molecule: non-coding RNA, 31 nt
Filed under: Homo sapiens (human)
Lineage: Eukaryota; Metazoa; Chordata; Mammalia; Primates; Hominidae
Source: RNAcentral
UCUUUCACACUGUGCCUGCAUCAGGCCCAUC